AAUAAGAAAGUUUGGUUCUAGCUUUAGGUUAAAUUUAUCGUGAUAUAAACACAUUGGUUCUAUAAGGAUAUUGGGAGUUUAGCAGGUCUAAUAAAGUAGUUUAAAUAACUUACUUUGUGCGGGCUGAUGAUGUAGGUUAUUAGUUAUAAAUAUAGAUAAUAAAUAAUUUUUCCCGGCACCAGUGAAAAAUUUUGAAUAAAGUUAUAAAUAAUGAUUCAGGGUAGAUAUAAUAAGGAGGUAAGUUUAGUGCCAGCACCUGCGGUUAAACUAACCCUUAUUUUAACCUUUUCGUAGUUGAGUUAAAGUUAAAAUAAAAGCAAUACGAUAGUUAAUAUAUGGUAAAAUAUAAUUUAUAGAAUGUGUUAUAUAACUUUAUAAACUUUACACUUAAAAGUCUAUUUAGAAGACCGGGAUUAGAGACCCCGUUAUUAAUGAUGUAAUAUUAACUACGGUUAGUACGAGCGGAAACAAGGCUUAAAAACCAAAGAACUUGGCGGUACAUUAUAUUACUUUAGGGGAACUUGACGGUUAAAUCGAUAAUCCUCGCAAUACCUUACCUUUUUUUGUCUUGCUAUACCGCCGUUGCCAGUUGAAUUUUAAAUAGAUAAAAUUUCUGCUUUGAAAGUAGCUUUCAUUAUUUUGAAUUACUUCAGAAUUCAGGUAAACGUAGUGGAAUUAUAAAAAGGGCUUAGUUGAGUUACAUUGUUAUAUUGUUUGGAAAUAAGUUGAAAUACUUGUGGAAUUUGGACCUAAUAGUAAGUUUUUGUAAUGGAGAAAAGUUGAAUUGUAAACUAAUGUGUGUACAAAUUGCCCGGUGCCCCCACAUAACCAAACUGGGGUAAGCCGAAACACGGUAACGCUACUAAAAAGUGGUGUUAA
RNAcentral lists this non-coding RNA (879 nucleotides) under Semelidae sp. STW-2017. The record is from RNAcentral. Lineage: Eukaryota; Metazoa; Mollusca; Bivalvia; Cardiida; Semelidae.